GGCCUUGGAUCUCGGUCCGCCUCAAACGAGGUGCGUACCAGGGAUCUGAGGCCAUCCUCGGAGAAAACAUAUCUGUCAUUAAGUUAAUGGGUAUGGGAUCUCCGUCAUUUACUGUGAGCAAAAUAGGGUGUUCAAAGCAGGCUUACGCCGUUGAAUACAUUAGCAUGGGAUAAUGGAACAGGACUGGUGUCCUGAUUUCGUUGGUUUCUAGGAUAUCAGUA
RNAcentral lists this ribosomal RNA (221 nucleotides) under uncultured fungus. Its description in RNAcentral is "partial small subunit ribosomal RNA". Lineage: Eukaryota; Fungi. The record is from RNAcentral.